RNAcentral lists this transfer RNA (74 nucleotides) under Micrococcus sp. CH3. RNAcentral describes it as "tRNA-Gly". It matches the Rfam family "tRNA". From Rfam's summary of the family: Transfer RNA (tRNA) molecules are approximately 80 nucleotides in length. RNAcentral also lists the same sequence under 1 other name. The record is from RNAcentral. Lineage: Bacteria; Bacillati; Actinomycetota; Actinomycetes; Micrococcales; Micrococcaceae.
GCGGGCGUAGCUCAAUGGUAGAGCGCUUGCUUCCCAAGCAAGAUACGCGGGUUCGAUUCCCGUCGCCCGCUCCG